Molecule: ribosomal RNA, 479 nt
Filed under: Curculio villosus
Lineage: Eukaryota; Metazoa; Arthropoda; Insecta; Coleoptera; Curculionidae
Description: partial 16S ribosomal RNA
Rfam family: Bacterial large subunit ribosomal RNA
Source: RNAcentral
CUUUUUGAUAAUAAUUUAAGGUCUAGCCUGCCCAAUGAUGUAGAAUUAAAUGGCCGCGGUAUCUUGACCGUGCAAAGGUAGCAUAAUAAUUAGUUUUUUAAUUGAAAGCUGGUAUGAAAGGUUGGAUGAGAAAAUAACUGUCUCUGUUUAAAUUUUAUAGAAUUUUAUUUUUAAGUAAAAAAGCUUAAAUUUGUAUUGAAGACGAGAAGACCCUAUAGAGUUUUAUAUCUAUUUUAUAUUGAGAUUUUUAGUAUUAAUUUUUUUGGUUUAAAAUAGGUAUUUAAUUGGGGUGAUUAAAAAAUUAAAAAAACUUUUUUUUUAUUAUAUCAUUAAUUUAUGAAUAUAUGAUCCUUAUAUUAAGAUUAAAAGAAUAAAUUACCUUAGGGAUAACAGCGUAAUUUUUUUUUAGAGUUCAAAUCGAAAAAAAAGGUUGCGACCUCGAUGUUGGAUUAAAAUUAAUUUUUGGUGUAGAAGCUAAA